Molecule: ribosomal RNA, 433 nt
Filed under: uncultured Clostridium sp.
Lineage: Bacteria; Bacillati; Bacillota; Clostridia; Eubacteriales; Clostridiaceae
Description: partial 16S ribosomal RNA
Rfam family: Bacterial small subunit ribosomal RNA
Source: RNAcentral
ACGGGAGCAGCAGUGGGGGAUAUUGCGCAAUGGGGGCAACCCUGACGCAGCAACGCCGCGUGAAGGAAGACGGUUUUCGGAUUGUAAACUUCUUUAAGUGUGGAAGAAGAUGACGGUGCACACAGAAUAAGCCACGGCUAACUACGUGCCAGCAGCCGCGGUAAUACGUAGGUGGCGAGCGUUGUCCGGAUUUACUGGGUGUAAAGGGCGUGUAGGCGGGAUUACAAGUCAGAUGUGAAAUACCGAGGCUUAACUUCGGGGCUGCAUUUGAAACUGUAGUUCUUGAGUGUCGGAGAGGAAAGCGGGAUUCCUAGUGUAGCGGUGAAAUGCGUAGAUAUUAGGAGGAACACCGGUGGCGAAGGCGGCUUUCUGGACGAUAACUGACGCUGAGGCGCGAAAGUGUGGGGAGCAAACAGGAUUAGAUACCCUGGUA